Molecule: ribosomal RNA, 381 nt
Filed under: uncultured Halobacteria archaeon
Lineage: Archaea; Methanobacteriati; Methanobacteriota; Halobacteria
Description: bacterial SSU rRNA
Rfam family: Archaeal small subunit ribosomal RNA
Source: RNAcentral
UAACACCAGCGCCACGAGUGGGAAUCGCGAUUAUUGGGCCUAAAGCGUCCGUAGCCGGUUUAAUAAAUCUUUAGUGAAAUCGUUGGGCUUAACCCAACGGCGUGCUAGAGACACUGUUAGACUAGGAACCGGGAGGAGUUAGAAGUAUAUUUGGGGGAGCGGUAAAAUGCAAUAAUCCCAAAUAGACUACCUGUGGCGAAGGCGUCUAACUAGAACGGAUUCGACGGUGAGGGACGAAAGCUAGGGGAGCGAACCGGAUUAGAUACCCGAGUAGUCCUAGCAGUAAACGCUGCGAGCUAGGUGUUGCACAUUCUCUAUGGAUGUGCAGUGUCGAAGCGAAGGUGAUAAGCUCGCCGCCUGGGAAGUACGGUCGCAAGGCUG